CUGGCUCAGGACGAACGCUGGCGGCGUGCCUAACACAUGCAAGUCGAGCGGAGAUUACAGCAAUGUAAUCUUAGCGGCGGACGGGUGAGUAACGCGUGGGCAACCUGCCUUGGACAGGGGGAUAACACAGGGAAACUUGUGCUAAUACCGCAUAAUAUGUAGGAAGGACAUCCUUUCUACAUCAAAGGAGAAAUCCGGUCUAAGAUGGGCCCGCGUCCGAUUAGCUAGUUGGUAGUGUAAUGGACUACCAAGGCGACGAUCGGUAGCCGAACUGAGAGGUUGAUCGGCCACAUUGGGACUGAGACACGGCCCAGACUCCUACGGGAGGCAGCAGGUGGGAAUAUUGCGCAAGUACGGGGGAAACCUGACGCAGCAACGCCGCGUGAAGGAUGUAAGGUUUCGGAUACGUAAACUUCUUUGAGUUGGGGACGAAUAAAUGACGGUACCAAAAACAAGCCACGGCUAACUACGUGCCAGCCGCCGC
This 484-nucleotide ribosomal RNA is filed under the name uncultured bacterium. Its description in RNAcentral is "bacterial SSU rRNA". It matches the Rfam family "Bacterial small subunit ribosomal RNA", at positions 19 to 518 of the family's 1533-position model. The record is from RNAcentral.